Solenopsis invicta (red fire ant) is the source of this 994-nucleotide long non-coding RNA. RefSeq lists it as uncharacterized. The record is from RefSeq and is a predicted model, not a curated record. The transcript has 3 exons. Lineage: Eukaryota; Metazoa; Arthropoda; Insecta; Hymenoptera; Formicidae.
CAGACGAGAACUAAAUUUUAUUGUGUGAGUGUUCCGCCAUAUUGGCAGUCUAGGAGCACUAGGAGUUCGAACGCUUUAAUCCGUUAACAUUUUUGUGUUUGUUGUGUGCAUCACAAUCGGAUUUCGGUGUUUUAUUAUUCCAGUUAUUGUUUCUGUAUUGGUCCAGUUAUCCUGUUGAAUUAUUGGGGACGGAUAUCAAUAAAAAGAAAGAAGAAGAAGAUCACGUAUUUCUCGUUAUUAAAUUAGGUUUGCGUCUAUUAAAGAAUAAGUGUACCAGAAUGGUUAGAGCAUGUUGUGUACUCAAUUGUACAUAAAAGAAAAAUAUGCCAUCGCAUGUAUUUCCAACAAAUGUACACAUGCGUGAAAAGUGGUUAAAAAGUUUAAUUUUGAAACCCUACAAAGAAAAUGAAAUUAGUAAGCUUAGAAUUUGUUAUGAACACUUUAAAGAAAGUGAUUAUACUGGGACUUCCAAAUAUCGAAGACUAAAUCGGACUGCUGUUCCUUUCAUAACAACAGAGGCAUGUACAACACAAUUUAAGAAUACUAUACAGCAUCAAGAACAAAGCAUACAACAAGAGACAAUUACAAGAAUUUGAUAUUAAAUAGAAGAAAAUGUAAGGGCAAGGAGGAUAAAACUACAAAAAUACGAGAGGACUUCAUCAAUAUGAUGUUGAGAAAUAAUGAUGUUCCACCACAGGCAAGACGAUAUACAAUUCAGGAUAAGAUAUUCUGUUUGGGCAUUUAUCGUAGAUCCCGUUCAUCUUAUAAUUUUAUAUUUAAAUUUUUAUUAUGUCCAUCACAUACAAUUUUGAACACCGAAUUAAUUUGUUAAUCAAAAAUUUUAUACUACAAUAUAAAAUGGAAAAACAAUACGAAAAAGAACAUACAAAUAUUUGACAAAUAUAAAAUAUAAAUUGUAUAUUGUAUAUUAUAUUAUAAUUGUGUAUUGUAUCUAUUGUACGUUAUAAUAAAUAUUCUUAUUCUUAUUUUCAAU